AGAUUGAACGCUGGCGGCAUGCUUUACACAUGCAAGUCGAACGGCAGCACGGGGGCAACCCUGGUGGCGAGUGGCGAACGGGUGAGUAAUAUAUCGGAACGUACCCGGAAAUGGGGGAUAACGUAGCGAAAGUUACGCUAAUACCGCAUAUGCCCUGAGGGGGAAAGCGGGGGAUCCGUAAGAACCUCGCGUUUUCGGAGCGGCCGAUAUCGGAUUAGCUAGUAGGUGAGGUAAAGGCUCACCUAGGCGACGAUCCGUAGCUGGUCUGAGAGGACGACCAGCCACACUGGAACUGAGACACGGUCCAGACUCCUACGGGA
This 320-nucleotide ribosomal RNA is filed under the name uncultured soil bacterium. Its description in RNAcentral is "bacterial SSU rRNA". It matches the Rfam family "Bacterial small subunit ribosomal RNA", at positions 26 to 346 of the family's 1533-position model. The record is from RNAcentral.